Erythranthe guttata (spotted monkey flower) is the source of this 832-nucleotide non-coding RNA. NCBI's taxonomy places the organism in Eukaryota, Viridiplantae, Streptophyta, Magnoliopsida, Lamiales, Phrymaceae. The record is from RefSeq and is a predicted model, not a curated record.
AUCUCCCCUUUUUUCGUUCUCUCUCACUUUUCCCCUUUCCUCUAGAUUAUUUCUCUUCGAUUUUCUUCCCCUUUCUUCUAGAUUUUGCGUCCACCACCACCACCACCACCACUGUGACACUGUCAGCUUUCCGGUGCCUCCGCCACCAUCAAUCUCGAUCGAUUCAGAAGAGAACGUAAAGUUUCAAUAAUUGCGUUUUUGGUGUCGACUCGUUUACAGCAAUUCGAUUAAAAGGUUGAGGGAGAUACAACGUCAACUUGAUAUCUGACUUAAUUUAAUAGUAGAGGCCUCACUCAAGGAGAGAUCAACUACCAAUGUAAACAAUAAAGAUAAAAUGCUUUUCAGCCACACUUUCGGGAAGAUCAGAUACCUUUCUCGCUAUAAAAAGAUGAAUUAGCAGAGCAAAAGGAGAAAAACAAGAGCUAUGAAGAAAAAAUAGAGACUUUGCAAGUACAAAUUCAAGAAAUGCAACAAUUCUUUCUGAAAAUGCCAGGGAAUAGCACUACGCAAAAUUCUUUAUGAAUGAUGAUACAUGCAUGCUUUUGAAGACUGAAGUUGGUUGGUACUGUGUUUUUGUGUGAAGGUUGAUCGUGUCGGAUAUUUUCUUGUCUUAGCUAUUAUGCAGUUCAAAACUUUUAUAUGUAAGUGAUAGUAUCGACAAUAGAUUAUCACCUUAUUUGGCAUGAUCAUUAGAUUAUCACCUUCACGAAUCCUAUAUAUAGUUUGUCUUAGUUAAGUUGUUUUUUUUUUUUUUUGGAACAAUAUUGAGUUUGUUAAAUUAAUUUAUGUUGUUUAGAUGAAAAGAGCUAUAUUACUAUCAUCUAUUUGUCUC